RNAcentral lists this ribosomal RNA (481 nucleotides) under uncultured bacterium. RNAcentral's name for it is "partial 16S ribosomal RNA". It matches the Rfam family "Bacterial small subunit ribosomal RNA", at positions 28 to 507 of the family's 1533-position model. The record is from RNAcentral.
GAUGAACGCUGGCGGCGUGCUUAACACAUGCAAGUCGAACGAAGCACUUUAUUUGAUUUCCUUCGGGACUGAUUAUUUUGUGACUGAGUGGCGGACGGGUGAGUAACGCGUGGGUAACCUGCCUUGUACAGGGGGAUAACAGUUGGAAACGGCUGCUAAUACCGCAUAAGCGCACGGCAUCGCAUGAUGCAGUGUGAAAAACUCCGGUGGUAUAAGAUGGACCCGCGUUGGAUUAGCUAGUUGGUGAGGUAACGGCCCACCAAGGCGACGAUCCAUAGCCGACCUGAGAGGGUGACCGGCCACAUUGGGACUGAGACACGGCCUAAACUCCUACGGGAGGCAGCAGUGGGGAAUAUUGCACAAUGGGCGAAAGCCUGAUGCAGCGACGCCGCGUGAGCGAAGAAGUAUUUCGGUAUGUAAAGCUCUAUCAGCAGGGAAGAUAAUGACGGUACCUGACUAAGAAGCACCGGCUAAAUACGUG